RNAcentral lists this ribosomal RNA (255 nucleotides) under uncultured bacterium. RNAcentral describes it as "partial 16S ribosomal RNA". It matches the Rfam family "Bacterial small subunit ribosomal RNA", at positions 524 to 777 of the family's 1533-position model. The record is from RNAcentral.
UACGGAGGGUGCGAGCGUUGUCCGGAAUCAUUGGGCGUAAAGGGCGCGUAGGUGGCCCGGUCAGUUCGUGGUGAAAGCGCGGGGCUCAACCCUGCGUCGGCCAUGAAUACUGCCGCGGCUGGAGCACUGUAGAGGCAGGCGGAAUUCCGGGUGUAGCGGUGGAAUGCGUAGAGAUCCGGAAGAACACCGGUGGCGAAGGCGGCCUGCUGGGCAGUUGCUGACACUGAGGCGCGACAGCGUGGGGAGCAAACAGGG